AUUGAACGCUGGCGGCAUGCCUAACACAUGCAAGUCGAGCGGAUGAAGGGAGCUUGCUCCUGGCUUCAGUUGCGGACGGGUGAGUAAUUCCUACGAAUCUGCCUGGUAUUUGGGGAUAACGUCCGGAAACGGGCGCUAAUACCGCAUACGUCCUGAUUGAGAAAGUGGGGGAUCUUCGGACCUCACGCUAUCAGAUGAGCCUAGGUCGGAUUAGCUAGUUGGUGGGGUAAAGGCCUACCAAGGCGACGAUCCGUAACUGGUCUGAGAGGAUGAUCAGUCACACUGGAACUGAGACACGGUCCAGACUCCUACGGGAGGCAGCAGUGGGGAAUAUUGGACAAUGGGCGAAAGCCUGAUCCAGCCAUGCCGCGUGUGUGAAGAAGGUCUUCGGAUUGUAAAGCACUUUAAGUUGGGAGGAAGGGAAGUAAGAUAAUACCUUGCUGUUUUGACGUUACCAACAGAAUAAGCACCGGCUAACUUCGUG
RNAcentral lists this ribosomal RNA (484 nucleotides) under uncultured bacterium. Its description in RNAcentral is "partial 16S ribosomal RNA". It matches the Rfam family "Bacterial small subunit ribosomal RNA", at positions 30 to 507 of the family's 1533-position model. The record is from RNAcentral.